CAGCAGCCGCGGGAAUACGAAGGGUGCAAGCGUUACUCGGAAUUACUGGGCGUAAAGCGUGCGUAGGUGGUUGUUUAAGUCUGCUGUGAAAGCCCUGGGCUCAACCUGGGAAUUGCAGUGGAUACUGGGCAACUAGAGUAAGGUAGAGGAUAGUGGAAUUUCCGGUGUAACAGUGAAAUGCGUAGAGAUCGGAAGGAACAUCUGUGGCGAAGGCGACUAUCUGGGCCAUUACUGACACUGAGGCACGAAAGCGUGGGGAGCAAACAGGAUUAGAUACCCGAGUAGUCCCUGUCUCUUAUAC
This 301-nucleotide ribosomal RNA is filed under the name uncultured bacterium. RNAcentral's name for it is "partial 16S ribosomal RNA". It matches the Rfam family "Bacterial small subunit ribosomal RNA", at positions 509 to 807 of the family's 1533-position model. The record is from RNAcentral.